AGGGUAAAACUUUAAGUCCGACCUGAGGCCUGCAGAUAGGGGCAUGGAGCGAGAGGUUGAAUCUGUCCCAACUAGCAAUGAUUUCAUCAAUCAUGCCAAUAUAGUGAAGUCUCCAUAAAAACCCAAAAGGAUGAGGUUUGGAGAGCUUCAAGGUUGUGAACCCAUGGAGGUGCUGGAGUGAUGUGCCUGCAGAGGUUAUCCGGAGCUCUGUGGCCUUUCCCUAUACUUUACCCAUGGCAUCUCUUCUAUCUAGAUUUUCUGAGUUAUAUCCUCUUAUAAUAAGCCAGUAAUCUAAUUUUUGAAAAUACUGUUUUCUCUAACUUUGAAACUUUAGAAUUUCUACAUGCUUGUCUUCAGUACUAUUUUCUCCAUCAGUGGUCACAGUCAAGCUCUCUCAAAGUACCUCAUUGGCAGACUCAGUCUGAAGGUAAAUGUGGAUAAAUUACCAAGUCACAGAUGAUAAAUGCAAGAAAACUCUUGGGAGGUACUUUUACUUCCCCAAAGAUUUUGGGUGCCCAGAGAACCCAGAUUAUAAGUGGCUGACUGGAGUCUUACAGCUGGAAGACAUGUUCAAACCAAGUGACUGAUUUUAUUUGUCACUGAAUGUCUGAUUUCAUCAAAGUUUCUACUCUGUCCAGACAAGCAGGAGAAUAAAGUAUUCGGUCACAGACAA
Long non-coding RNA from Panthera uncia (snow leopard), 673 nucleotides. RefSeq lists it as uncharacterized. NCBI's taxonomy places the organism in Eukaryota, Metazoa, Chordata, Mammalia, Carnivora, Felidae. The transcript has 3 exons. The record is from RefSeq and is a predicted model, not a curated record.